This is a long non-coding RNA of Oreochromis aureus, 453 nucleotides long. The record is from Ensembl. NCBI's taxonomy places the organism in Eukaryota, Metazoa, Chordata, Actinopteri, Cichliformes, Cichlidae.
CUUUGGGCAGCUCAGUUCACAAGGGUGGCGCCAGUGAAUAUACAGUGUCUCGUGGCUACACAAACCGCCGGAAAACUCUAUAAAAGCAUCACACAAUGUACAUGGACUGCAAGGAAAGAACGCUAAUGUACACCGAGCAUCUGAAGAACAACAUGCAAGUCCUCCAGCACAUUGAAUCCAAAACCUGUUCCAGUUCCUCAGACACCAUCAGAGACUGUUUUGAAAGCUCUCUACUAUCGAUCUGGAUAAAAAGAAACUUUGCCAACCACUGAGCGUCAUUGGUUUUCGAUUGAUGGAACUCCUUUCAGAUUUACAUACUGCUGUUGUGGAGAGCCUAACUAUAGCCACAGAGAGCACUGCCUACACAUGAACUGGGCAGGUCGGCCUCCUGUCUUUUUGUCAGUGCUACAGAAUGUCCAGAAAGCUGCAGAAGAAGAAAUGUGAGCCGUGGGU